RNAcentral lists this long non-coding RNA (269 nucleotides) under Mytilus galloprovincialis (Mediterranean mussel). The record is from RNAcentral. Lineage: Eukaryota; Metazoa; Mollusca; Bivalvia; Mytilida; Mytilidae.
GGGGGGGGGGGGGGGGGGGGGCUAGGAUGAAAUUUGAAAAAAAUAGGCAGGACAGGAGUUUUGAGUAAAAAAAAGGCAGGAUGAGACACUUGCAAAAAAAAAAAAAGUCAGGACGACAAUUUAGGUAAAAAAGUCAGGAUAAACUAAAAAAAAAGGCAGGACCGAACAGAGUGAAAAAUAAAAAGGCAGGACAGAGAUUACAGCUAAAAAAAUAUGCAGGACAAAAUUUUUCAUCCUAGCCCCCCCAUAAAAAUCAAAUGGUAGCUCCC